Sinocyclocheilus anshuiensis is the source of this 160-nucleotide long non-coding RNA. RefSeq lists it as uncharacterized. The transcript has 3 exons. The record is from RefSeq and is a predicted model, not a curated record. NCBI's taxonomy places the organism in Eukaryota, Metazoa, Chordata, Actinopteri, Cypriniformes, Cyprinidae.
UCAGUUCAUUUACCUCCUGUCUGAGGCCCUUGAGGGUGUGGGCCAAGGAGAAGAUGAUGCUGGUCAGGUCCUGGUGGUUCAGGAUGGGUGUCAGGUGUCCACUUGUGUCGCAGUCUCGCUGUUCCUUUCUCUGCCAUUGCAGGUCAGAUCGAAAGAGCAC